This 3808-nucleotide long non-coding RNA is filed under the name Sus scrofa (pig). RNAcentral's name for it is "lncRNA (ENSSSCG00000053328.1)". The record is from RNAcentral. Lineage: Eukaryota; Metazoa; Chordata; Mammalia; Artiodactyla; Suidae.
UUUUCACCAAUAAGCUAUUUUAUUGAGCACCUAUGCUGAGCGAAGGGGCUGGGAGGUAAGCAUGGAUGGGUAGGGCUAUAUUUUCUUCUCUGGCACACAAGUCAGUCUGAGGUUGAGGCUGAGGCUGGAUUUACCCCAGGCUGGUGGCUGAGCUGACACAGCCCAGGGAAAAGGGGGGUGGGGGAGGGAGGAGGGGUAUCUGUGGCUGUCCGGCUGGGGCACGGGAGGGGGCGUCAGAUGAUCAGCUCUCAGUCUGUGACAGGUUCCCUUUCUCCCAACAUCCGUUAGGUCUCCCCAGCCUCCAGCUGACUCCUCUGCCCUUCCUCUGGGGCUGGGCCUGCCCUGGAGGGGGCAGUUCAUUCCCAUCAGUUCCAGCAGAGCAGCCGGGACAAAAGCAAGCACCGUGUGUGGAGGUCAGGCUUGCAUCCCGGGCCUGGCGGGAAGCACUUCUCUCCCUGAGAAGGACAUGAGGGCAGCCCAGAUACCUAGAGGAAGGGGUCCGUGGGAGGCAAGCAUGAGCCAUGCCCUAGCCCCUCUUGCAAAAGAGAUCGCACAGGAUGGCCCGGGCGCCCAGGGUUAGGCACCCCUGCAAAGGGUUUCCAUUGUUGUUGAGAGAACCUGGCAGAGCCCAGGUGGUGACUCCUGGCCAGCUUUGGACAAACUUCCUCCGUGUUCCCCCAGGCAGAGCAGAGAGCCCGGCUGGCGGGCAGGCCCUCACCAAGCGCAGUGCCUACAGUGGAGUGGGUCUUGUCAGGAUUUCUUCCCUCCCUUCCCUCUCAGUGUCCUGGUAAUACGGCUAAUGACUGUAAUUAAUAGGCGCAAUGCAUUUCCAAUGGCCAGCUGGGUGGGCACGAAGCCCAGCUUGAGUCAGCAUGGGUAGGUAGACUGCUUAUUUAAUCACCCGCUUUCCAGCACCAUCCACAUACCGGCUCUGCCGGAAUAUAUAUAGAGAGCAGAGAGCAAUCUCCAGGAUAUAUAUAUAGACAGAGCUGAGACACAACUACUAUAUUUCUAGAUCUCUCCAACGCAGCUAUCUCCGGAUCCCUCCCGUGACGAACCUAGAGAGAGACAGGGAUCUUAACUGGGGCUUAGGUGGCCUGGGUUCUAUUCCUGGCUCUGACGCUGGCACCGCUGUGUCGCCCUAGGCGAGUGACUGUCCCUCUCUGGGCCUUCAUUUCCUCAUCUCAGUGCUCCAGGAAGUAAAUCAAAGUUUACCACUUAUAGUUCAAAGCUAAAGGGCUGAAAGGGCACUCGGAAGCCUGGCCUGACUAGGAAGAAAGGAGGGAGGGAGAGCGUGGGUUUCCUUGUAAUCAGUAAUUGCAAUGCAGACACUUCUUUGCUGCAGGAGGUGGGGCUCUAUCAAAGGGUCUCCCGACAAAGCAUCAAGCAUCGGGGAGGAAUCGGGCGGGCACGACCGAUCUGAUCUGGAGAAGGCACUCACGACUAAAACAAGCCCUGCAAGUAGCUUUGACCAUCACUCCCCUGCCCCCACCCUCGAGGUCUCAGGUCCCAAGGUGCAAAGAUCCUCUUCCCUUCCUCUCCUACGCCUGCCUGCGGUUAAAACCAGCAAAAAAAGUACCUCCUAAAGUGACUGUGCCUCCCUGGGGUCUUCGGGGAAAGAUGAGAACAUGCUGACUUUUUGUGCUCCCGGUAAGGGGGUUGGGGGAGGAAAGGAAGGUUGAAUUAAGGCACUCAGAGCUGGGUUACGGGCUGCAGCCUGGCUCCCAAGAGGUGUCUGAAAGCCAACUGCCUCACUGGCAGGCAGUGCCAGGUCCUUGUUUUUCAGGGCAGAGAGUAUAGCAAGCGGAGCCUGGCUAUUCUGCUCGGGUCUUUAAAGAUGCAAAGUGCCUGGGUGUCCUCCCUGUCUCGGCCAGGGCCCAGCAGGGUCUUUACUGCAAGGUGAUUGACUCCAAGCCCUGGAGGCAGCCUGGGCUCUGUCCAUGGCACACAGGUCCCUGGGCCAGUGGAGAGACCUGGGGCAGAGAGUCCCGUCCUGUGUCAUUGUCCCUCCUGCUGUGGGUCACCCUCCUCCCCUGCAGAUUCCCUCUGUUCAGACAGCAGGAACUUGGGGACCCCUUUUGCCCAGGCUGUGGUCUCUACUCUGAGCGUGCAUACACACACGCACACACACACACACACACCUGCCUUCAUCUCCCAUCUCUUCUCACUGAGCUGGGGAGCUCCCUGGAGAAGCCAGGUUCUUGAUCUGAUGAACCUUCUCUGGCUGUUUCUACCCGAGGGGAAAGGGGUCUGAAUGGCUGAAAUGGACAGAGUCCAGAGGACUCAGUGAAGCCAGUAGACCAGCACCUGGGGGCUCCCCACUCAUCUGUGCUCACUAUGGAGACUUCACCUCCCACUCUGCGGCUUUCCCCUCCAACCCAAUUGCCAUGCCUGUAGCCCAGGAGGCGCUAAGGAUUUGAGAAAGGGCCCCCAUAACCAGAAGAGGAAGGAAAAGGAGGGGGACGUGGGACCAAGUCUGCUCUCCCACGGUUGGCUGCAUUUAAUUGCAAGCUGUUGGCCCCGAUUUCUCUCCCAUCCUCCUCUCUGGCCUCUUCCCAGCUCAGGUCCAAGACAGUAUGGGGCCGCAGAGGAUCCUCAGCUUUGUGGGGGCCGUGCAGAAGCGCUACCAACCCUUAGAGCAGCAUCCGCAGCCACAGGGAGCUGCCCCAAACUCUCUUCUGACCUACUUCUCUCUUGGAGGACCCCACCGACACCCUCCAGGGUCCUCCAGUCUAGCAUCUUCAGCAAAAAUGGGGCAGCGGGUCAUCGACGGUGUGAAUGGUGGAAGAACCAAAGGAAAAGGGAUGCAGAGCUGGCUAGAAGCAAAGAUGGGGACAGGGCUCCAGGCUUGCAGAUCCCAAACUCCUAGGUGUCUCAAAUUCUGGCUGUGUCCUUCAUCGAAGUGGGGCGGCAGUGGGGGUGGGAAGGGUAGGGAGAUAUUUGCAAGUGUUGAGACAAGCCUGGAAUUCUCUGACAAACAAAAAGGAUAUAUUCCCUCCCCUGUUCUUUCUCCCCCCUCCCACCCAUCCCGUCCCCUCACCUCCCAAAGCCGAGUAGCUUCCAGCAAGGCACUCCCGUCUGCACCCCGCCCCACCCCCACCUCAGGUAAAGGGCCAAAAGAGAAAUGACCCAGAGAGGAGGGGUGCCCUCAGCCUGGAGAACAAUGCUAGCCCCCACACCCCCUCCCCAGCUCCCCUUAGCACCGCGCCUCAGUAAUUAAAAUAUGAAUUCACCUUCCCUCCCCGAGCCAUUCAUCACAGCGAAGGGAAGCAGCUGCGGCUUAGGAGACCGGAUUUGGGGGAUUAGCUCGGGCGGUGGAGCAGACACACCAGGAGAAAGAAUUAAAAAGGGAGUGAAUUGGGUUUUCUCUCCCCACCUCUUCCCCUCUCCCUCUCCCUGCAGCCGCCUUAGAGCCUCACACCCCACCCCUUCUCCCCAAGCCUGGCCUCGGCAGGUUUCUGGGAACUGUAGUCUCCAGCACUGUGUUGAUAAACAGGCGGGCCAAGGGUGGGUGGUGACACAAACUACAGAUCCCAGGCCUUCUUCCCGGAGUUGGCAGCUGCAAAGCUGGGCACAGGCCUCUAGUCUGGAAGAAGCCCAGUUCUCCUUGGAGAUUAACUCCUUCUUGGCCUGCAGGAGAUUGAGUUCCACCCUCUGGCUUACUAAGUGCCUGGAAUCUGGAGCCAAGGUCCUCUCUGCCUUCGAGGGCUUGCCCAGUCAGCCCCCCUGGUAUCCUGCUUGCCCAUCAAUGGAGAAAGAGGGGAGGCUCCCCCGCCUUUCAAAACUACAGGGGCCACCUCGCAUUUAC